CGGUCCCAUUGGCCACUCCGCUGCUACUGGAAGGUAAUCAUAGCCUCCUGGUGUCGCACAUCCAUGGGAAUAAUGAAUUUAUUUGGACUAGAAACUAAGACCUGCUGGAAUGUCACCAGAAUAGAACCUCUUAAUGAAGUUCAAAGCUGUGAAGGAUUGGGAGAUCCUGCUUGCUUUUAUGUUGGUGUAGUCUUUAUUUUGAAUGGACUAAUGAUGAGAUUGUUCUUCGUGUAUGGAGCAUAACCUGAGGAUGUCAUGCCCAGAGCUGUAGCGGUCAUCUUGUGACCAUAAGGGAAAGGCCAUAAAAAUAGCAGAUAUAUCUGGCCUACCAUCCUUCUGCUGCUGAACCAAUGCCAACAGGGACUAUAUUAUUCCUAUUUCAAGACUAUUGUGGAAGCACCCUCAUUUUUGAAUGGAGUAUGGAUGAUUAUGAAUGAUAAACUGACUGAAUACCCCCUUGUCAUUAAUACAUUAAAAAGAUUCAAUCUUUACCCUGAGGUAAUUUUGGCCAGCUGGUACCAGAUUUAUACCAAAAUAAUGGACUUGAUUGCUAUUGAAACCAAGAUAUGUCGGACGGUUACCAGAGGAG
This 589-nucleotide long non-coding RNA is filed under the name Pan troglodytes (chimpanzee). RNAcentral describes it as "long non-coding RNA NONPTRT016097". Lineage: Eukaryota; Metazoa; Chordata; Mammalia; Primates; Hominidae. The record is from RNAcentral.